AGCCCAUGUAGAGAAAGGUUUGAGACAACUUUUACAUAUAUACUCACGUGGCAUUCCACUUGGCUGCCAACUAGGCAAAGAGGUCAUGUCUACGUUUGUCACAUUGCUCCGAUAGUUCAACAAUUCAAUACUGCGAACUCCCCCAUCCACAUCUACUUCAGCUUUUUAAACAUCGGAAUUCUACUCACUUUAGUAUUCUCACCUCCUUGAAAAGUUCGACAAAAAUCAAAAUCCAACACCUCAUAAGAAUAGUUUUGGGGGAUAAUUAUUAAGCCUUUACCUACGUGCUUGCCAACUAGGCAAAGAAGCCAUGUCCGGAUCGUCGCUUAUAAGCAAGAUGUCACUUGGACCCCAAAGAUUUGCAUGCCAUUCACUCUUGAGGCAAUAGAGAGCCCAUCAGGGCCAUUGAGGUAGUCGUAUUCGGGGCAGUUCUGAGCCCCAUAGGAUGGUUUCAAACACUAUAACGUUUGAGGCAUCCAAAUUUAUAUCUACAUCAACCCUUUAUUCUCUUCAAGGAGAACUGGAGAGACCCCAUCCAUAGUCGCACCAAACACCUCUCUUAAGAUCAAGGCGAUUGGAACCUGAAA
This 587-nucleotide long non-coding RNA is filed under the name Olea europaea subsp. europaea. The record is from RNAcentral. Lineage: Eukaryota; Viridiplantae; Streptophyta; Magnoliopsida; Lamiales; Oleaceae.